Molecule: long non-coding RNA, 1041 nt
Filed under: Nicotiana benthamiana
Lineage: Eukaryota; Viridiplantae; Streptophyta; Magnoliopsida; Solanales; Solanaceae
Description: long non-coding RNA (NBEN_LNC015671)
Source: RNAcentral
UUAUCUCUCUCAAACCCAAAUUUUCUCCUCAUAUUACACUUACCCUCUUAGUUAGGGCUUAGAAACUAUGAACCAUUUCUGUCUCUCCCCUCUUCUCUGUCAUGUUGCCAAAAUUUUUUUAUUCAAAGCCCAUUUAAAUCAUGUCUCCUUCUACUUUGUCACAAAGGAGGGCUUUUUUUUUUUGAAAAUGGAGGAAAAGCAAUGGCGGAAUAGAGAUUGAAAAUGCAGGAAAAUUAAUGGCGGAACUGAAAUUGAAAUGGAGGAAAUCAAUCGCAGAACAGAGAUUGAAAAUGGAGGAAAAUCAAUGGCGGGGCAGAUAUUGAAAAUGGAGAAAAAUCAAUGGCGGAAUGAUGGUUGGUUUUCACUUCUGAAUUUCAAACUUUAACGGGAAAGAGCCUGUAGGUUUGCAUUUAAGAAAAUAACCUUUCAAUUGAGAUUCAAAUAUAUAGUAUUGAACAUAACGCAAGGGAUUGGAGACAGAAGAAAAAAUUAUCAUCACAGCCUCAAAUUUUUGCAUUCGGAAUAAUAAUUAUAUUUGUGUUUGAAAUCAAUCCUAUUUGAGAACAGUUGAUUGGGAUGCAAUCAAGAUGAAAUUGUAAAUAUUUACUUGGAAGAAGAAUAAGAAGAAGAUACAGAGGGAACAAAAAGGGAACAGGGAUGUUUUGCGUGUGGGUGUUGUGGUAGGGGGAGAGGUGGUAGGGUCACGAAGAAAAAAGAUGUAAUGGGGUGGGUAAGGGAAUAACAGAAAGAGGCAUACCUCUUUUGCUUUUUUUUACUUAUUUUAUUUUCAUUCUUAUUUAAUUGAUUUUUUCUUCUUGUUUUAAUAAUUUAUGGUUCAAAAUAUUUAUAUUCAUACUUAUUAUCCGCUGAAUUACACUCACUUUAUCCAGCUUAACCAUUAUGUUACCACAUGUGCUUGCUAAAUGGUCAGACAGGUUUAAAUAAUAGGCUUUGAUCAAAUUAAAGUGUCUAGAUGAAAACAAGUGAAGUAGGAGGACUGUCGUGAGAAAGUGGGACAAGUAUAAGUGUCAUUUAAGCUUU